AUAAAACCGUUGAGCAAGAGAAGUACGAAGGAUCGGGUAUAUCCAGAGAGCUGUAAAUGGUGUGAUGCAGCAGUACAGAUUUUUCCGAAUGGACUUGCGAGGGCAGCUUGAAACUGUGAUACAGGAGUAGACGCUGACGGGAACCCUGUCCGUUAUCAGUGGGGUGCAUAUGAUGGUAUGCAAAAUGAGUGGGCGGUUUUUAUCGUCAAUUUGGGUGGUAACGCAGAAGUUAUAAGCUUUUGUCCCUUUA
Molecule: non-coding RNA, 250 nt
Filed under: Desulfosporosinus youngiae
Lineage: Bacteria; Bacillati; Bacillota; Clostridia; Eubacteriales; Desulfitobacteriaceae
Description: T-box sequence
Rfam family: T-box leader
About the family: Uncharged tRNA acts as the effector for transcription antitermination of genes in the T-box leader family. T-boxes are found upstream of many aminoacyl-tRNA synthetase genes and some amino acid biosynthetic genes usually in Gram-positive bacteria.
Source: RNAcentral